This 527-nucleotide ribosomal RNA is filed under the name uncultured bacterium. RNAcentral's name for it is "bacterial SSU rRNA". It matches the Rfam family "Bacterial small subunit ribosomal RNA", at positions 777 to 1312 of the family's 1533-position model. The record is from RNAcentral.
AAUAGAUACCCUGGUAGUCCACGCCGUAAACGAUGGAUACUAGCUGUUGGGGGCAACUUCAGUGGCUAAGCGAAAGUGAUAAGUAUCCCACCUGGGAAGUACGAACGCAAGUUUGAAACUCAAAGGAAUUGACGGGGGCCCGCACAAGCGGUGGAGCAUGUGGUUUAAUUCGAUGAUACGCGAGGAACCUUACCAAGGCUUAAAUGCAGACUGACCGAUUUGGAAACAGAUCUUUCGCAAGACAGUUUACAAGGUGCUGCAUGGUUGUCGUCAGCUCGUGCCGUGAGGUGUCAGGUUAAGUCCUAUAACGAGCGCAACCCCUGUUGUUAGUUGCCAGCGAGUGAUGUCGGGAACUCUAACAAGACUGCCAGUGCAAACUGUGAGGAAGGUGGGGAUGACGUCAAAUCAUCACGGCCCUUACGCCUUGGGCUACACACGUGCUACAAUGGCCGGUACAGAGAGCAGCCACUGGGCGACCAGGAGCGAAUCUAUAAAGCCGGUCACAGUUCGGAUCGGAGUCUGCAACG